GUGCUCCAGAGUGGGGGAAGAGAGCUGUGCAGCCCCGGGGUAUCUGAGCCAUUGAGCAGUGAGCUAACUAUGGGCUGCUGACAUCAGAUGUAGCUUCAAAGUGGUCCUGCUCUUCAUGUAGAUGUGCCAAUCAGUGGGGGGUGACAAGCGGACCACCCAAGAGAUAAAUUCUGCCUGCAUCCCGAUGUGCUGCUGAUCCAGAUCCCAUUGCAUGCCCCUUUCUCUACUGGUCAUGGCUCUCUGAUCCACUGAGGAACAUCUAAGCAAUAAAAGCAUGUACAUGUAGAGAAGUGCAAAGGGGAGGGCUGUCUUUCUAUUACUCACAACUUCCGAGAAGGUUAAUAUGGCAAAGCUAAGGGAAGAGGUAGGUUUAAAAU
Hyla sarda is the source of this 377-nucleotide long non-coding RNA. RefSeq lists it as uncharacterized. The record is from RefSeq and is a predicted model, not a curated record. The transcript is spliced from 3 exons. NCBI's taxonomy places the organism in Eukaryota, Metazoa, Chordata, Amphibia, Anura, Hylidae.